RNAcentral lists this ribosomal RNA (497 nucleotides) under uncultured bacterium. RNAcentral describes it as "partial 16S ribosomal RNA". It matches the Rfam family "Bacterial small subunit ribosomal RNA", at positions 28 to 507 of the family's 1533-position model. The record is from RNAcentral.
GAUGAACGCUGGCGGCGUGCCUAAUACAUGCCAGUCGAGCGAACAGACGAGGAGCUUGCUCCUCUGACGUUAGCGGCGGACGGGUGAGUAACACGUGGAUAACCUACCUAUAAGACUGGGAUAACUUCGGGAAACCGGAGCUAAUACCGGAUAACAUGUUGAACCGCAUGGUUCAACAGUGAAAGACGGUCUUGCUGUCACUUAUAGAUGGAUCCGCGCCGCAUUAGCUAGUUGGUAAGGUAACGGCUUACCAAGGCAACGAUGCGUAGCCGACCUGAGAGGGUGAUCAGCCACACUGGAACUGAGACACGGUCCAGACUCCGACGGGAGGCAGCAGUAGGGAAUCUUCCGCAAUGGGUGAAAGCCUGACGGAGCAACGCCGCGUGAUUGAAGAAGGUCUUCGGAUCGUAAAACUCUGUUAUUAGGGAAGAACAAAUGUGUAAGUAACUAUGCACGUCUUGACGGUACCUAAUCAGAAAGCCACGGCUAACUACGUG